RNAcentral lists this long non-coding RNA (1001 nucleotides) under Carica papaya (papaya). RNAcentral describes it as "long non-coding RNA (CPAP_LNC013749)". Lineage: Eukaryota; Viridiplantae; Streptophyta; Magnoliopsida; Brassicales; Caricaceae. The record is from RNAcentral.
GGCGCUCUCGGGUGCAGCGGCUCUCCGGCGAGGUUCGUGUUUUGGUGAUUCGGCUCCGGUCAACCUGUAGAGAAAAGAAUGGUGAUCACGGUGAUAUAAAAAUUGCAUCGAACGGAGGCCGGGAAGGGCCUCGUCGGAGGCAAAAACCGAGAGGGGGCGCGGCGGCGCCGCUGGGCUUCGGCCGCGUAUUCCGGCCGUUUGGCCGGGAUUUCGGCUUCGAUUUGGCCAUAGGAGGAAUCAGUGGGGAAAAACGAGUCGGGGGUAUGAAAUUUACCUCGAUCGGCGGUCGGAAAUUUCCCCGGUGCGGCGGCGAGCGGCGGCGGGUGGCGGCGGUCGGCCUCUGGUUCGUCUUCUCCGGCGAGCGGCUGGCGGCUAGGGUUUGUGGUCUGGUGUGGGGGUUCUAUUUAUAACCCCUUGCCUUUUGAUCACAGCCGUCCAUUUUGUUUUAAUCUGGGCCGUUCGUUUUUGAUUGAAUCUGGGCCGUCCGUGCGAUUGAAUCUGGGCCGUCCGAUCGCGUGAUUGAUCUGGGCCGUCGGAUCGCACCCACGCGGAUCGCCAACGUGGCUCCUUUCGGAGUGACGCGAUCUUGCCACGUGUCAGGCCCUGGUUGGCCGGGACUGCUGACGUGGCUGCUGACGCGGCUGCUGACGUGGCCCCCCCUUUUUUUUUUUUUUUUUUUUUUUUUUUUUUUUUUUUCCUCCUCCUUUCCGGGUGCUACAAAUGAAGAUCGAACAUUAGUACUGACGGAGAGACAUCAAACAAAUAUUUACAAUAUGCCCAUCCAAUCGUAACCUACUUGAUUAGCAUAGUAAAUCACAUAUCUCCUUCUCCAUAUCAGCUCUCUGAUCCCUGUUCUGUGCGCAGGCGAGGCAACGCGAGCACAAUCUUUCCUCCCGAUCAUAAAUCAACUUCUGGAAGAAGGAAGAUUAAGAACUUUGGCUAAGAUUUCAUUCUUCACCUGUGAUCGUGAUUUUGGGAGAUGAGCGAAGGAACCUCUAGUU